CCUACGGGAGGCAGCAGUGGGGGAUAUUGCACAAUGGGGGAAACCCUGAUGCAGCGACGCCGCGUGGGCGAAGAAGUAGUUCGGUAUGUAAAGCCCUAUCAGCAGGGAAGAAGAAAUGACGGGACCGGAGUAAGAAGCACCGGCUAAAGACGUGCCAGCAGCCGCGGUAAUACGGAUGGUGCAAGCGGUAUCCGGAUUUACUGGGUGGAAAGGGAGCGCAGGCGGCACGGCAAGCCUGAUGUGAAAGCCCGCGGCCCAACCGCGGGACUGCUUUGGGAACUACCGGGCUGGAGUGCCGGAGAGGUCGGCGGAUUUCCUCGUGUAGCGGUGCCCUGCGUAGAUAUUCGGCGGACCCCCAGUGGCGAAGGCGGCCUACUGGACGGUGACUGACGCUGCGGCUCGACAGCGUGGGGAGCAACCCGGAUUAGCUCCCCUGGUAGUC
This 442-nucleotide ribosomal RNA is filed under the name uncultured bacterium. RNAcentral's name for it is "partial 16S ribosomal RNA". It matches the Rfam family "Bacterial small subunit ribosomal RNA", at positions 338 to 795 of the family's 1533-position model. The record is from RNAcentral.